RNAcentral lists this long non-coding RNA (5407 nucleotides) under Lactuca sativa (garden lettuce). RNAcentral's name for it is "long non-coding RNA (LSAT_LNC008726)". The record is from RNAcentral. Lineage: Eukaryota; Viridiplantae; Streptophyta; Magnoliopsida; Asterales; Asteraceae.
AAGCCUUGAAACCCGAAAAUGUGACAGGUGAGAAAUUGAGAGGGAUGGAUAAAAACCUAGAAGUCAAGGAGGACGGAGCUCGCUACCUCAUGAACCGGAUCUGGACACCGAAGUUCGAUGGGUUCCGAGACGUUGUCAUGAACGAAGCACACAAGACACGAUAUUCCAUCCAUCCAGGUUUGGAUAAGAUGUAUUUAGACCUCAAGAAGUUGUAUUGGUGGCCGAACAUGAAAGCUGAGAUUGCUACCUAUAAGGGCAAGUGUCUGACUUGCGCCAAGGUCAAGGUAGAAUACCAGAAGCCAUCAGGACUACUACAACAUCCGGAUAUACCUGAGUGGAAGUGGGAGCGGAUAACCAUGGAUUUCAUAACCAAGCUACCUAAGACAUCGAGUGGGCUUGACACCAUAUGGGUAAUCGUAGACAGAUUGACCAAGUCUGCGCACUUCCUACCAAUAAAGGAAACCGACAAGAUGGAAAUGUUAACCAGGACAUACAUCAAGGAGAUUGUGCGACUGCAUGGUGUACCAAUAUCCAUUAUCUCUGACCGAGAUAGUAGAUUCACCUCGCGAUUUUGACAGUCCUUACAGAAAUCUCUGGGAACUAGGCUAGAUAUGAGUACGACCUAUCAUCCGCAAACCGACGGGCAGAGCGAGCGCACCAUACAGACGUUAGAAGACAUGUUGAGAGCCUGUGUGAUAGACUUUGGUAAGGCGUGGGAUACUCAUUUACUGCUUAUCGAAUUUUCCUAUAAUAACAACUAUCACACUAGCAUUGGAGUUGCUCCAUUCGAAGCUCUCUACAGUCGCAAGUGUAGAUCACCUCUGUGUUGGGCCGAAGUGGGGGAUACUCAGCUAGCUAGGGGGCAAGUCCCUGAUAGCACCCUUACCGGGCCUGAAAUCAUAAGGGAGACCACAAAAAAGAUUGUUCAAAUUUGGGAAAGACUGAAGGCGUCUCGUGAUCGACAAAAGAGUUACGGAAACAAGCAACGCAAACCCUUGGAAUUCCUAGUCGGAGAUCGAGUACUAAUAAAAGUUUCCCCUUGGAAAGGAAUGAUACGCUUUGGUAAGCGUGGGAAACUAAACCUGAGGUACAUCGGGCCAUUUGAAAUCCUUGCCAGGAUUGGUCCUGUGGCGUACAAACUCCGAUUACCACAAGAACUUAAUAACGUACACCCUACCUUCCACGUAUUAAACUUGAAAAAGUUCCUAUCGGAUGAGACACUUGUAAUACCUCUCGAUGAAAUUGAAGUUAACGACAAUCUCCACUUCGUGGAAGAACCAGUCGAAGUCAUGGAUCGAGAGAUCAAGCGAACAAAACAGAGUCGUAUUCCUAUUGUAAAGGUUCGCUGGAACGCUAAACGGGGACCUGCAUUCACCUGGGAACGCGAAGAUCAAAUGAAACAAAAAUACCCACAUCUUUUUUCCUAACUCUUAAAGUCCCAGUCAAAACGUAAAUUUCGGGAUGAAAUUCCCUUUAACGGGGGGAUGAUGUGACAAUAGUCAAAUCCGGGUCAAGUCGAAGUCAAACAAAGUCAAUAAGCUAAACCGGACGACUCAAUUAGCUCUUGUGUAUUAGGGUUUACGUGGUGUAUUUACUAAACAAUCCGUUAUUUUAAUGAGAAAGCAUCAUUUGAAAAAUCCAUGUGAUGUAAUUCUUCCUAAGCCUUAAAUGCGGUAAACAAUGAACCAAAGUGAUAAAACACAAAUGAACACUCAUCGGGAGUGUGUAAGACAUUAAAACAUGGCUUAAUGAGGUUUACGGACCUUGCGUUGCGAAGUCGGACACUAAAAAAGGACACACACGAAACCUCUCUCAAUCAUUUUCACUCUAUCUCUUUCUAUUUGAAAUCUCUCCCAAAUCUCUCUCAAUGGUUCUCGUAACUUUUUGAAGUCAUUCGGGUCAUUCCGACCUUUAACCGGGUCAAAAACCACUUAAAAGAGGGUUAAAACGAGUAAAAUACCCUAAAAGAACCGAAAAACCCUUUAUAGGGCCGAAACCUCUUAGGGCCGAACUCCUUGGACUGAAAGCAGCAAAGAACCGAACCCUCUUGGCCGAACCAGAAGGAUGCUCUUGGAACCAAACCUCGCACACACCCGAACCCGAAGUUACUGUUCAUUUCGGUUCAUUUUGCUCUCUCGGCCUAUUUCGCUUCGGCUGCGCUCGGACCGAACCUACCUUCGCUUCUUGGCGUUUCUCUCCUUACUGUUUUGCUUUGUUUCGCCUCUCGGCCAACCUCAGGAGGACCGAACCUCUGGCUAGGACCGAGAGGUCUCGCUGGAAGACCAAUUCUUUUCGGUUUUCGACUGCGACUUCAUUUUAGCUUCGUUUUUCAUGAUUUUAACUCGGGAUUUUCACUCAAACUCGUAUUUUAACAUAAUAAACCCUAAAUAUUCAUAAUUUAAUCAUAUUUUCAUGAAAAUCCUUAUUUAAAUAAUAAAAUCUAGUGGGUGAAUAAUUGAUGUGGAGUGUUGGUUUUGCUUUACCUUAUGACACAAGCAACCACCCCCAUACCCACUCUAUGACCAGCCACACCUUCCCACCUUACCUAGGUCACUUCAAUGUCCUUUCCACUCAUUUACCAGCCCUCCCCAUGUUCUUAGAGCUGGAACAACCCAUCUUCUCUCAUCACUUCUCUCAUUUGCUCUCAUUUCACUAAGGAUCCAACUCCACUUUUCCUCUUAAACUUUCUCCCUCAAAUUCGAGAUUCAAGGCUGAUUAUCAAGCUUUCACACACUCUUGGUAAGUAUAAUUCAUCCUCCUUGUGAUUAUUGCACUUCAUUCUACUCAAAUCAUUGAUUUCUUACACAAAUUCCAUCACUUCGAUGUUAGAUUCUCGAAAAUCUUCAAGGCAUCUUCAAGUGUUCUUGGGUUGAUCACUUCCAUUUUUCAACAACCAUCUACUGAAAUCACAUAAGGUGAGUUCAUAACCCUACAUUUUCAUAUUUUAUUAUGUUUUAAGGAGGAUAAUACAAGUCAAAUCAUCAAGAACACAACUAAAUAUUUCUAACAACUUACAUCAGAAAAGUUGGACUCCAUUCACGGACUGGUUUGGUCAACUAAAACAUUUUUGUUUUCAAAACUAUACCAGGUUCAAGUAGUUAAAGUUCUUAUCUUUAAAAUGACUACUUGCACAUCUCCAUACGAUUUUUCUACUAUGUAUGGUGAUUUUUUCAAAACUGCCUAUCACUUCAAGAACCAAACCGGACCAGUAUGUGUUUAUGGACGUUUUCACGUAAGUUGGAGGUCACUAAGAAUCAUGGAAAAAUUUAUGAACAAACUAGAUUCAUUAAACCAACUCCCAGAAUUUACGGAUUUUGAUUUGGAUCUUUUAUUUAGUUUUUAUAAGUUUCCUAAUAACAGUGAUCGAAGCUGUUAUAAACAGAAAAAUGCUAACAUAUUAUUAUCACCUUGUAUCAUGUUGAGCAAGGUGUAUAUCCUUAUGUGAAUGUGUGUUAUUACAAAAGAAUGAUAUUUUAUCUUGGUGUAUGAACAUGCAUCAGUUAAUAAAUGGAUUUUGAUAUAGAUAUACAUAUGAAAUAUAAAGGAUAACACGAUUGUUAUAAUCAAUGUACAUCCAUUUUACUUAAACAAUUGAACGAACUACGUUGAAUAUAGAUUACGUACGUUACCAUUACUACCCUUGUUUUGAUAAACUAUAAUUGGUAUUGUUUAUGAUUCAUCACUUAACACACUCGUACAAAAAGGGUACAUUCAUACAAAAAGGUUCUACACUCACGCACACUACACGUAAACUUUUUAACUUAAGUGGUGAAACAUUCACUCCCCGUACGUCCGAGUACGGGAUCCAAAUUCCUCUGAGUUAUAACCAAAAUCUCUUGUAGGGAGAGCGUAAUAAUUGUGUAUAGAUCUAUAUUGGGGUUGACAUCCCACACCUCGCUGCUAGCUACAGCCGGACCGGCAGGUCUGUGGGUGACAAGAGUCAUAGGAUCAGGAGGCCUGAAAGACGUUGUGCAGGUUACCUCUAGUCUUAGUAUGGUUAUAGCGAUUCAUAUAGAGAUUUAACAAUAAAUAGAGUUUACGGGAUUUUUAUAAAACAAAAAUGGGUUUAUGUCGAUUUAAAAAUCACUUUUUAUAUCAAUAAGUACGAAUAUUACUGUACACUUUCGGUCUUGGUAUUUAAGACUACACAUCACUCGAGAUUUAGAACUACAUACACAUAUUAAAGAAAAUAUUGGAUUUUCUGAAUACAUAUUCUAUCGCUUUUAUAAGGAAAACGGUUUACUUCUCUAAAGAAAUCUCUUAUGAACUCACCAACCUUCGUGUUGCCACUUUUUCAAACAACUUGUAUUCUCAGGGAAUCACCAAACAGGUAACCAAGUACUUUUGAGGAUGGGACGUUAAGGCGUCAAACUUUUCAUAUUUUUUCAACAUAUUGUAAUUGAUUUUGAAACAUGUAAUUCAUACAGUGAUGUAACUCUUUCAAUUAUAUAUAUGUUGGUUGUGUUUGCUUAAAUUACUAUUGUAAUGGUGGUUAUGAUACUAUACAUGAAGUCCUCCACCCCCGGACGUUUCCGCCAUCUUUGGUUUGGGGGUGUGACACCAGCACACUAACAUGGACUAGUGAGGAUGGCAAAAGGUUUAAACAUAAUCAUUACGACAUCCCUCUUCAUAAUUGUUUAGAUAGACAUGUGAGCUAUUUAAGGAAAGGUGUAUGAUUUUGAUAAAGUUUUAUCAAAGAUCUUGUAUUAGAAAUUUGAACUUUGGUAAGAAAGUCAAUAAAGUAUUGAUUUCUAGAAGUCCAGCUAAUUUAUGGGUACAUGUCAAAGCUAGUCGGAGCAUAAGUGUUAUGACAGUUAAAUUAUAAUUAUCAUGUUAGUGGGAGCAUGAUUAUUAUGUUAAUUGUUGCAAGUUAGCAAUGUUAGUUAUAGAAAAACAAAAGUUUCAAUUAAUUCACUUUGAAAAGUUGUUUUGCUAUAAUUAAGGGAGAGGAUUUUAUACUUCAUUCCAAUUCUACAAGCUUAGAUUGAGAUUUUAAUCAACUUUAGUCAAGGAUAUAUAUGAAUGUUAUGUUGGAAUGGUUUAACAUAAGGAAAUUCUAUAUAUGUUGCGUUCUCAAAUUUUGAUUAUGAUUACGACAUCCCUCUUCAUAGUUCGAAUUAUGAGAACAUGGCAAAUAAUUUUUUUUUUAGCAAAAGACUGAUAAAGUAUCAUGUCUUUAUGUAAGACAUCAUGAAUUGUGNGCCAUCAGGACUACUACAACAUCCGGAUAUACCUGAGUGGAAGUGGGAGCGGAUAACCAUGGAUUUCAUAACCAAGCUACCUAAGACAUCGAGUGGGCUUGACACCAUAUGGGUAAUCGUAGACAGAUUGACCAAGUCUGCGCACUUCCUACCAAUAAAGGAAACCGACAAGAUGGAAAUGUUAACCAGGACAUACAUCAAGGAGA